This 903-nucleotide ribosomal RNA is filed under the name uncultured bacterium. RNAcentral describes it as "bacterial SSU rRNA". It matches the Rfam family "Bacterial small subunit ribosomal RNA", at positions 26 to 922 of the family's 1533-position model. The record is from RNAcentral.
UGGUUUUUUGGGCAUCGAUGGCUUACACAUGCAAGUCGAGGGGCAGCAUGAUCUUAUUUUUGCUAAGGUCGAUGGCGACCGGGAAAGGUGCGUAACGCGUAUGCAACCUGCCUGUAAUUAGGGAAUAACCCGGUGAAAGUCGGACUAAUACCCUAUAUUCUUCUUUCUCCGCAUGGAGGAGGACGGAAAGAUUUAUUGAUUACAGAUGGGCAUGCGUCCCAUUAGCUAGUUGGUAAGGUAACGGCUUACCAAGGCAACGAGGGGUAGGGGGACUGAGAGGUUGACCCCCCACACUGGUACUGAGACACGGACCAGACUCCUACGGGAGGCAGCAGUGAGGAAUAUUGGUCAAUGGGCGAGAGCCUGAACCAGCCAAGUCGCGUGAAGGACGACGGUUCUAUGGAUUGUAAACUUCUUUUGUAGAGGAAUAAUGGCAGCUACGCGUAGCUGAGAUGCAUGUACUCUACGAAUAAGUAUCGGCUAACUCCGUGCCAGCAGCCGCGGUAAUACGGAGGAUACGAGCGUUAUCCGGAAUUAUUGGGUUUAAAGGGUGCGUAGGUGGCGUAUUAAGUCAGUGGUGAAAAGCUGCAGCUCAACUGUAGUCUUGCCGUUGAAACUGAUAUGCUAGAGAGGAGACGAGGUAUGCGGAAUGUGUGGUGUAGCGGUGAAAUGCAUAGAUAUCACACAGAACGCCGAUUGCGAAGGCAGCGUACCAGGCUCCGUCUGACACUGAAGCACGAAAGCGUGGGGAUCAAACAGGAUUAGAUACCCUGGUAGUCCACGCAGUAAACGAUGAAUACUAGAUUUUUGCGAUAUAGUGUAAGAGUCUAAGUGAAAGCGAUAAGUAUUCCACCUGGGGAGUACGCCGGCAACGGUGAAACUCAAAGGAAUUGACGGGGGCCC